This 3323-nucleotide unclassified non-coding RNA is filed under the name Leishmania donovani. Its description in RNAcentral is "gene:LdHU3.07.1350(CDS-product:nucleolar_RNA-bind ing_protein_putative)". Lineage: Eukaryota; Euglenozoa; Kinetoplastea; Trypanosomatida; Trypanosomatidae. The record is from RNAcentral.
UAACGCACCUCCGUCGUUCACUCCUUAAUUAUCUUCACGUAUAACCGUAGCCGCCACACCCAGACAACCCAAGCGCGACGCACCGCACCUUCUUGUGACAUCCCAGCUUUCCUUUCAUCGCUCACUUGUUUCCACAGACGCCUCUCUCUCCGACGAACAACUUCUUCGUACCAUCUCUCCUCGCCGUCUCAGCUGCUGCCCGUCAAGGCGACCACCUCGUCUUCUGGGCGUUUCUCUUUUCCUCAUCGACGAAGCGGUCCUCUCUCGCGAGCACUCGUCCCUCUCUCUCUCGUGAAGUCUACGCUCUUCGUUCUCGAUUCCAUCACCCCCCCCCCCCCCAGUGUUCAUCAUGGAGGGCUUUUACGGUAUUGAGGUGACCGCCGGCAAGCAGGUGAAGGCCAAAAUCCCAGAGGAGUGCGCGCUGCGCGUGACGCAGCUCGCCGUUCCCGCCAACGCGGCUGGAGCCGUUUCUCUCGUCGUGUCCUUCGAGGGCAAGCUGUUCACGAUUGCCACGCUGGACCCCAAGAAGGGCGUCUACCAGAUGAGCACCGACCUCGUCUUCACCGAGGCGCAGGACGUCUCCUUCUCCGCCCAGGGUGCUGGUGCAAUCCACGUCACUGGCUACGUACAGCCGGUCGGCAACGACGAUAUGAUGAUGAAUGCCAUGGCCGGCGAGUCGGGUGAGGAGGACGAGAGCGACGACGACGACCUCGAGGAGGCUUCAGAGCCGGAAAGCAACGAGGUCGCCAAGACCCAUGCUUCCGCUGCCGCUGGUGCGGAGGACAGCGACGAGGAGGAGGAGAACGAGGACGAAGACGACGAGGAGGACGAGGACGACGAGGAUAUGCCCCCGGCCGACCUCGAUGACAGCGACACGGGCGAAGAGGACGAGGAAGUCGACGAAGAGGAUGACGAUGAGGGACAGAUGGACCACGAGGAUGAUGAGGAUGAUGAGGAUAACGAUGAUGACGAGGACAACGAUGAUGACGAGGACAACGAUGAUGACGAGGAUAACGAUGAUGACGAGGAUAACGAUGAUGACGAGGAUAACGAUGAUGACGACGAGGACGACGUACCGCGGAAGUUCCAGCGUGCGGAGCGCGGUGACCACCGCGGUGGCUUCCGCGGCGGACGUGGCGGUGAUCGCGGUGGCUUCCGUGGUGGUCGUGGCGGUGAUCGCGGUGGCUUCCGUGGCGGUCGUGGCGGUGAUCGCGGUGGCUUCCGUGGCGGUCGUGGCGGUGAUCGCGGUGGCUUCCGUGGCGGUCGUGGCGGUGAUCGCGGUGGCUUCCGUGGCGGUCGCGGUGGUGACCGUGGCGGCUUUCGCGGUGGCAAGCGUGGCCGCUACUAGGCAGUUUGUCCGUGCCUGAGGAACAUGAUGAAUGAGGUUGAUAGCGGUGGAGGUCACGAAGCAAGCGAAGAGAAGGGCUAGUGAUGAAGAAGCGCCAUCGGAUCGCGCUCCCAUACACCGGGUCUCUUUCUCUCCUCUCCCACCCGUGCACCUCUCGUGCUCGUCCCUACGCACCUUCUCCUCCCUCAUCCCUGCCCGCAUGGCGGGGCAAUCGUUGGUCUCUCUUCAUCAGUGGGGUUUUUGUCUUCACGUGCGCCUCUCACGCUCGACACUGCACGUGUGUGCGCGUGUGCCUUCGCGCUGCUCCUCGAUGAAGAGAGGCCACACCUCAACGGAAUAACGAACGGAGAGGUCCUUCCAACUCGAAUCCGCUGAAGAACCUACACACACCCACCCACACACACACACACGCAGACGCACAGAGAUGACGAGGAAAGUAGGCGCUUGGGUGGAGUUCUUGUUGCUGCUGGUCUUCCUCGCUCGCCUACGUUGCACGUACAAGCGCCGGCCCUUCCCUCCUCGCUCUCCUCUUUCCCUUAUGUCCUGCGGCUGCCCAUACCGCCUUUGCUGCUGCCGCUGCCGCGCCUCUCUCGCCGCACCACACAAGCAGCAAGUGAAGGGGAUGCACAAGAGAGGAGGAGUAGGGCAGGUGUGGGCGCGCGCGCAAAGGGAAGGAGAUGUGAGGCGGAAGGGUAUGGCGAUGAUAGGCGGUGCAGGAGCAGCAGCUUUCUCUUCAGUGCCUAGCGCUCCCUCAGCUCACCGACCCCCGUUCACAUACACCCACACAAACGCAUGUGCACGCACACCGACUCGGACUGGCAGACAACUGAUGGAGGCGACAGGUGCAUAUCGGCAGACAGAGACGGAGCGGCUCACGCUGGUGCGCGCCUGGGUGUGCGUGUCCGUGCGACGACGGUGACGUUUGUGUGUGUGUGUGUGGAUGCUCUCGUAAAUGUUAAGCCCGAUGAUCCGUUCGGUCGUCCAAGUGUCUUUUUUUUUUCAUAUAAAACUGUUUCUUCCUUUCGUAGUUUGUCUCUACGUCCUCCGCUGUUGCCUUGCUCGUAUCGGCGUCUUCGCGCUUAUCGGUGGUCGUUGUCGGUGACGUAGCUGUGACGUAGCAGCGGCAGCGAGGCGACCGGGCGUGCGCCGCGGCAGCGGCAGCGGAGAGAGAGGGAUGUGCGCGUAUGUGGCGUCUCUCUUGACGGUUAACCGAUGAAGCGUCUAAAGAGGGAAGCGAGCCAAAAGACCAUCAAGUCCAAAUCCCACAGCGCUUCGCAAAGACGAGAGGCAGGGAGCGGUGCGCCGCACGGACCCGUUGGGGACCGCUCGCGACGGCCCAUCCUGGACGUGCCAGCGAUGCAGGAUAUGGUUGCGGGGCGUGCACGCUUCUGCGGCACCGUGUCCACUGCCCUUUUGCCUUCCUUGUCGUUUUUCUUUUUGUUUUGUCUUUGUGUGUUGCGUCGUGAUGCGGCAGCAGGACCUCCGCAUCGGCGUUCUCCGCUGUACUGUGCUGUGUUGCGCUGUGCUGUGCUGUGCGCGGCUCUCUUACACUCCCUCUUUUACGGGUGAGCCGUCCUCUUACGGCGUGCCGCUUGCCGCCUUCUCGUCGUCCCUCGCACAGGCACGCCUGCGUGUGUGUGUGUGCCGGAGGGCGAUAGAGGACGUCGAGGGAGGGAGGAGGACAUGGCAGGAUGCGGGCGGCAGAUGGAGAGGCGGAGUAACAGCCAGGCGGUGAGAGUGCAAGAACACCAAAACGCAAAAAUCUGAAGAAGGGACGGCGCGGAGGCAGCGGCGGCAGUGGCAAGAGAGAACGGAUGCGCAAGGAGCGGCAAGACUGCACGCUUUUUCCUUUCAAGUCGCUACCUUUUCAAGGGGCCUGUUCACUGAACACGUGCCCGCCAGUCCGACUCCGUCGACGUGGCCGUGGGUGAUGUCUAUGCGUGGUUUGUUGUUGGCGUAGUUCAUGCGCGCACUU